GAAAUGCGAUAAGUAGUGUGAAUUGCAGAAUUCAGUGAAUCAUCGAAUCUUUGAACGCACAUUGCGCCCCUCGGUAUUCCGUGGGGCAUGCCUGUUCGAGCGUCAUCUACACCCUCAAGCUCUGCUUGGUGUUGGGCGUCUGUCCCGCCUCCUUCGCGCGCGGACUCGCCCCAAAUCCAUUGGCGGCGGCCCUUGCCUCACUCUCGCGCAGCACAUUGCGCUUCUCGAGGCGCGGCGGACCGCGUCCAGCAAGCAACCGUCACACCGUCUUUGACCUCGGAUCAGGUAGGGAUACCCGCUGAACUUAAGC
This 310-nucleotide unclassified non-coding RNA is filed under the name plant metagenome. RNAcentral's name for it is "partial contains 5.8S ribosomal RNA, internal transcribed spacer 2, and large subunit ribosomal RNA". The stretch from base 1 to 105 matches the Rfam family "5.8S ribosomal RNA", at positions 50 to 154 of the family's 154-position model. The record is from RNAcentral.